AUAAGAACCUUCUAUCAUAGCUAGUUUUCCACUAACUCGAAACAAAAUUAGAAUUACCAACUUCCAGUACCUCGUUACAUUAUUGUUUGUGAAGAUAUAUACCUUAUAUGUUUUUUUAUUUUUUAAGAAUAUAUGAAAAGAGAUUUUAUUCAAAAGAAGAACCAAUUACGAAUUAUGGGAAUUGUGUGUGGAAGACAUAAUAGUCCCACGUGUUUCCCUACACUACCAGAAAUAGUUACAGGCUUAUCACCAUUGAUGAUAACUAUGAGCCAAUCAGACCCAACCCAAACCAGAAACGACGCUUCUCUAAACAGGUUACUCUAGUUGCCACAGUAUGCACCACACAAUUCGCAUUUCUUGUGAAAGUGUAACAUCCUGACCCAGAUUAAUAAAAAUUCUAAAUUUUCAACGAGUUUAAUUACCUUGGAUUAGACAAAUUCGAUAAAAUCGUAACUGGCUCAAGUUACCUUUGAAUUGAAAGAAGGGAGUGGGUACCUUAAUGUUUCCAAAUGAACCCAUGGUUUCUCUUUUACAAGAGUCCAAGAUCAUGAGGCCAGUUUUAACAUGAUCAAUAGGAUUGAUCCCGAGAUCGGAUCCUCUUCCCUCCCCCUGGAUUGAUCCGAGAAAUCUUUGUAUAUCCCCUUCUCAAGAUCGGUGUUCUAGAGAGGCCUCCUCUCCCGAGAGAGUUCUACAGCUCUCCCUAUCUUACAACCCAGAUAGGAAACCAAAACCAAAUCGAAACUGGAAAAGUAAACAAUCUGAGUAAUUGAAGUAUAAUAGUUACAGCUACUGGCCGAGAUAUUUCUAUGAGAUAGCUUUGAAUACCACAUCAGUAUACAUCAGUACACAGUUGCCAACGUGCUAUCAGAAACUAAACUGAUUAUGAUAAAACUGAAUAACUAUACAUCUAGGUAAAGGUAAAAAAGUCUGGAAUGGUUCCCUAUAGAAGUCAACAUAUAUACUCAUUCUGUAAUGCUUUAAGUUUAUUCUCAUGUUCUUGUUAGGUAUUUGAGUCCCCUUUAGGAUUACAACCAUGUUCUCGUUAGGUUCAUGUCUCCUUACUUUAUCAUCUUGUCUAUAAUUUUUGACAAAUGUGAGAGCUGGUAGCUAUAUAUAAGGGCUGGUAUAUCUACAUUGUAAUUCCACAACAACAAUGACCAAAGGCCACAUUUCUCUUGCCACAUUAUUAACAAAUGUGAGAGCUUUUACUGUUUAAGAUAUGAACCCCACCCCAUUUGAUAUCGUAGGUGAGACAUUGUCUCACAAUUGCAUAUAAUUAUGGCUAGGUAAUAUAUUAUUGUUUUUUACGUACUAAAACCUGACAGGGCUGUCAUCUCUCGCCUCCCCCUCUUUUCUUUGCUCCAACUUUUGCUAUUUUUUAAUUUUAAAAAUUCAAAUAUUUAUGAAAUAACUCACAAUGCUCCCAGUCUCCAACACUUGUAUCUUAUUUGUAGUUCUUUUCCCAUUCUUUUCUUCAUCUCUGUCCUUCACUUUAUCUUCCGCCUCUCUCUCUCUCUCUCUGCAGAACCAAAGUUCUGACCGCCUCGGAUUUCUUGACGAUCUCCGACUUCGAGCCAACGACCGCCUUCGACAUCACUU
This 1599-nucleotide long non-coding RNA is filed under the name Fragaria vesca (wild strawberry). RNAcentral's name for it is "long non-coding RNA (FVES_LNC001451)". The record is from RNAcentral. Lineage: Eukaryota; Viridiplantae; Streptophyta; Magnoliopsida; Rosales; Rosaceae.